Molecule: ribosomal RNA, 427 nt
Filed under: uncultured bacterium
Lineage: Bacteria
Description: bacterial SSU rRNA
Rfam family: Bacterial small subunit ribosomal RNA
Source: RNAcentral
UAGGGAAUAUUGGACAAUGGGGGCAACCCUGAUCCAGCCAUGCCGCGUGAGUGAAGAAGGCCCUCGGGUUGUAAAGCUCUUUUGUCCGGAAAGAAAAGCAUUCGGUGAAUACCCGGAUGUUCUGACGGUACCGGAAGAAUAAGCACCGGCUAACUUCGUACCAGCAGCCGCGGUAAUACGAAGGGUGCAAGCGUUACUCGGAAUUACUGGGCGUAAAGCGUGCGUAGGUGGUUGUUUAAGUCUGAUGUGAAAGCCCUGGGCUCAACCUGGGAAUGGCAUUGGAAACUGGGCAGCUAGAGUGCGGUAGAGGGUAGUGGAAUUCCCGGUGUAGCAGUGAAAUGCGUAGAGAUCGGGAGGAGCAUCUGUGGCGAAGGCGACUGCCUGGACCAGCACUGACACUGAGGCACGAAAGCGUGGGGAGCAAACA